This 495-nucleotide ribosomal RNA is filed under the name uncultured bacterium. RNAcentral's name for it is "partial 16S ribosomal RNA". It matches the Rfam family "Bacterial small subunit ribosomal RNA", at positions 28 to 507 of the family's 1533-position model. The record is from RNAcentral.
GACGAACGCUGGCGGCGUGCCUAAUACAUGCAAGUAGAACGCUGAAGGAGGAGCUUGCUCUUCUGGAUGAGUUGCGAACGGGUGAGUAACGCGUAGGUAACCUGCCUGGUAGCGGGGGAUAACUAUUGGAAACGAUAGCUAAUACCGCAUAACAGUAGAUGUUGCAUGACAUUUGCUUAAAAGGUGCAAUUGCAUCACUACCAGAUGGACCUGCGUUGUAUUAUCUAGUUGGUGGGGUAACGGCUCACCAAGGCGACGAUACAUAGCCGACCUGAGAGGGUGAUCGGCCGCACUGGGACUGAGACACGGCCCAGACUGCUACGGGAGGCAGCAGUAGGGAAUCUUCGGGAAUGGACGGAAGUCUGACCGAGCAACGCCGCGGGAGUGAAGAAGGUUGUCGGAUCGUAAAGCUCUGUUGUAAGAGAAGAACGAGUGUGAGAGUGGAAAGUUCACACUGUGACGGUAUCUGACCAGAAAGGGACGGCUAACUACGUG